Long non-coding RNA from Onychostoma macrolepis, 1334 nucleotides. RefSeq lists it as uncharacterized. Lineage: Eukaryota; Metazoa; Chordata; Actinopteri; Cypriniformes; Cyprinidae. The transcript is spliced from 3 exons. The record is from RefSeq and is a predicted model, not a curated record.
UUGCCUGGGGGCACCUACCGGUAGACCAUGAGCUCUGAUUUUUUUUUUUUACACACCAUAUAUACCAUAUUUUCUACAUUUUCAAUUAUUUAUAGCCUAUAUAUUUUCUUCUUCAUUUAAAAUACAUUUACAACAACGACUGGUUUAACUUUUUCCAAUUUCGAGCUCCCACUUUUGUAAACAGUUCGUCUGUGCAUCUUGCAAUAUUUGAAGAAAAGUGGCGACAGCAAAAACAAAAAACUGAAUCCAGUGAAACUGAGUACUCAAUCCAUGGGAACUUGUUGUAGUAAAAGGGUGAAAAGGCACGAUUAAUAUCUCCAAUUUGGUGCUUAGGGAAAAAAGAAAGUAUGGGCUGUUUCGGCCCUGUGGCUUUCUCCCCGAGGUCGUUGACGCAUCCAGAUGCAGCGGCGGGUUGAGCGGGUGUCUCUGGUGUCCGUGUCGGUGGCGGUACUGGUACUGCAGGUUCCAGGGACGGAGGUGUUCACGGCCUCGAUUGCUGUAUCAGCGGCAGUAGAAUAAAUAUCAGAAGUGUCAAAGUUAGAGACCUCCACGCUUUUUACUGUGGGUUUAUUAAAAAAAACGACGAAUAUCCAUUUUGUUCAUUUAGCGUAUCUUUGCAGAAAGCGGGAAGAGAACGAGAAGAGAGUCCACUCACGCGAUACUUUGAGAUUCGCGAGUUGUGAGAGUAGUUUUUUUUUUUUUUACAUUAAUUACAAAUAAUUUAGCCUUAACAUACUCAUUAAAAUAGGAUAAUGCAAAUAAAAUGAGACAAUGUGAAAAUAUUUUUGUAUUCAUAGAUCUGACAAAAUCGACUGGCUCUGAUCUGGGAGGGCAGUGACACAUAACACACACGACAGAGGACUGACAGCAGCUUUCUAACGCAAGGUUGCAGAGCGCCAGCAGGCAGACGUUUACCAGUGGGUCAUUCUCAGGAUACUGCUGCAUUAUGGCCACCAGCCUGGGGAUUACACCAUUCUCCACCAGCUGCGUCUGCUGAACAGCUGAGAGAGAGAGAGAGACACACAGGGAGAACGGCGCAACGGAAGAGAAAGACAAUCCAAAGGAUUUAUUAAGACAAGAAUCCCUUCAAACACGAUGUUUUAAUACCAAAUGCGGACCAGUGAACCAUAAUAUCAGGAGAACUGCAUUUUCAAGAAGUUGAAGGACAAACAGAAUCAAGAUCCUGACAUUUACUAUUCAAAUUAACUCUGUGGUAAGAAAGAAAACUGUGUUAGAACAAAAGCUAAGAAGCUGAGCAGAAUUGUGAGGCCAACUGGAGACACAUCAAGACUGUUGGUGAGAAACACGAUUGGAUAGACUGCAAUUAUCUUGCU